CGCGUGUUUUGCCCAGGCUGAGCUCGACCGCCGGUUCAGACCAUGAUCGCGUUCACGACGAUCACCGCGAGGCGCAUGGGAUCGAGCCGAUCUGCAAUGUGCUGCCGAUCACCCCG
Mesorhizobium ciceri biovar biserrulae WSM1271 is the source of this 116-nucleotide non-coding RNA. Lineage: Bacteria; Pseudomonadati; Pseudomonadota; Alphaproteobacteria; Hyphomicrobiales; Phyllobacteriaceae. The record is from Rfam.